Long non-coding RNA from Grus americana (Whooping crane), 7047 nucleotides. RefSeq lists it as uncharacterized. NCBI's taxonomy places the organism in Eukaryota, Metazoa, Chordata, Aves, Gruiformes, Gruidae. The record is from RefSeq and is a predicted model, not a curated record. The transcript has 3 exons.
UACCAUCUAAAUUCAUAAUAUAGUCAAGGAAGAAAAUUGCACUUCAAAUUUUUCUCCCCUGUCUAGUGGAGCUAGAUUCAGCUGUGAUAGCCAGGUACCUCGUUAGAUGUCUACAUUACAGACGUCCGUAUUGGUCAGGGAACAGCUCAGCCAGCCUCAAGAGAUAAUGCUAACAUGCAUUAGUAGUGUCGAACACUACCUGUAGUAGUGCACUCCUGGCAUGAACUGUCUCAGGAAUUACAGACAUUGCUACUGACCACUGGAGUACAGCCUACGCUCCCCGAAGUCCCAAGAAAGAAGCAGAUGGGUUCAGCUGGCAGUUACAAAACAGAACAAUGGCUUUGCAAUGGAAGUAUUUCUAUGUUUUUAAAAAUGUAAUCCUAAGCAAUCUGAAUUAAUACCACUCCUGUAUCAUUCAUUAACUCUUAGUUAUGUGCAAAAUAAUAACUGGCAUCAUUUUUAUAACCAUAAAGCAUAGCCCAGAAGAUGCUUAUGUAAAAAAAAUACAGGGUAAGAUACACACAGUGUCAGUUACGCUGACAUAAAGAAGGAAGAACUCUAUGCAUUCAAAAGAAGCAAGCAGUGGGUUGUUUUGUUUUGUUUAUCUUUUUAACCAAAUGCCUAAUUGAAUUGUGGUAGCUAUGUCCAAAAGACACUAUAUUACUUCAGAAAGGGCUUAAACAAAUUCAUAGAGGACUGGUUCAUUAGAAGUUAUUAAACAUAUUUGGCACAGGAAUUUCCUAAAUUCCAGGCUGAUAAUGAGUGGGAUGGCAUUCGGGGCAGGAGUUGUUCCUGAUUUCCCCAUGUCCUAUACUCUUUCCCUAACCAGCUACUACCAGCCUCUUCUAAAGAGGGAGGACCUUGGUCACAUUUCUGGUAUGGCUCAGCAUAAGACAUCUUAUGUUUGGAAUAACUAGGCUUCAGCGACAAAUAUCUGAGUCAUUUACAUGGAUAAAAUAUUACACUUAAAUUCUUCUUCUGGAUCAAAGGAAACACACCUUACAUACGGAUCUAAGAAUUUAUAGUUACUGCAAUUGAAAUCAAGGUAAUAUAAUCAAAGCACAACGGUUAUUACAGUCCUGUUAUGAUCAUAGUAACACUUUUAGUUAAUAACACAGUUAAGACUGAUAAACAAAAACAUUCUUCUGUGGUGUUAUGCUCACCGGUCCAAUGUUCACUUGUCUCUGAAGGUCAUCAGCUUCAGUCCUCCUCUAGAAGGAUAUUUUCUGUCAUUCUUGCAGUGACUCACCCAGUACUUCCAGUGCCACAGUAUACUUGUUUUUCUGUUACUAUCCCUGAAACCUCUUUCACCUGACUCACAUUUGUUUAUUUAUUUGUCUGUAUAUACCUUUAGUCACCAGUGUCUGGCCAGCGUGAUUUGUGUGUAAAGUCCUAGUGUAUCUUGUGUCAUCUUGUGCCUGCCCUCACCUAAACCCUACUAUUUAUUCUAGGGUCAUAAGAUAGUUCACCCUGCACAGAGUACUUGCUUUGCUACUUAUCCAUGAACAAUAGGCAGUACACCAUACAAUUCCACAAAGCUUAACUAAAGCUUAAACAACUUUAGAUGAUGUUUACUUCAUGACUAGACGAUUGUUGUCGCAACUGAAAGAAGCUAAAAUCAGCACAGGCUAAGACAAGUCCAGACAAGCCAUGGAAUCUUGCAACAUCAGGUCAAUACAACGCCUAUGCAAGUAAUGACAAAACAGUAUAUAGUAAAAAAAUAAAAAAGAGAAGAUUUCUUACACCUAAUUGCACUCGUUUUGCCUAGAUAUUAAAGAGAAUAAAAAAGUGACAGAAGUAGUAAAAAUUCAGUGAGCUAGACAAGAAGAGAACAAGUUGGUUUUCUCUGUUUCUGUCGUCUCCCCAGUAAGUCUGAAGUGACUUUGUUUGGAUCAAUAUAGGUAUCUUGCUUGUGCAGUCAAACUGCUUAUACUGUUCAAAAAUGCAUGCCUUUAGAAUUGUUUUCAUUGUUUUCCAAUGAAGCAUAUUUAAAUGACAGCAUAGAUUCUCCUAUUAUUUACCAGACAUAAAUCAGAAGCAGUUCUACUACGUCAAGGAAAAACUGCUGUGAGCAAGUGCUGAAGAAUGUGGCCACAGCAUUUAAAAUUAAUAUGUUCAGUGUAUGCUCUAUUUGUAUUCCCUGCUUUCUUUCCGCUAAACAUUUCUUUGUUCUUUAGGAUAUGAGCCAUAUUUCUCAAGGGUAAUGCUUUAUUCUCUAAAACAAUAAACAUAUUGACCACUACUAUGAAUCUUGUAAGACAAUUUGCACUACAUUAGCAGGCCAUGAAUCUCCCUUUCUAAGAAUCCAUAUUACAAAACAGAAGUUUAAGCAAAAACAUGGCAUUACAUUGAUUUCUUGGGAAGUAAUAUACACAAAUGUGUUUACACCGAAAGAUACAUGUGCACAUGCAAAACAUACACAGAGUUGCAUAAAUACCAUGUAUUUCACAAACAAAUCAAUGUCUACUUGACUGAGCUAUCUUUCUCUUAGAUUUGGUACCAAUUCUAUCUGUAUGAAAUAUUGAUUCUUAAUCAAUUCAAAAAGAAUAUGGGCCUCAGAUUACUGUUACCGUCCACAAAUAUCUUUUUUUUUUUUUCCAGAUUGUAUAAUAAGGCAGGCUUUCUAUCUACAUUUGUCAUUAUAUGUAUAUUAUAUGUACAUACAUAUACACCAUUAUACAGUGGUGGAAUAUUUUCUUGAGAAGGGAUAAACAAGUAUGCCUAAUCAAUUUUAACCAGUGGCAUCCACUUAGGCAUAUGUAUGCUGUGACAUAUAAAUAACAUCCAUGUCUUCUUUGGCUUCUGGGACCCAGUGGGAAGAUUCUAUGUCUAUUAUUAGACUUAAUUGUAAUUGUUCUCCAUGAGAAGUAGUUUUCUUUGUUACAGAAGCAAAAAUUCUGCCUUCAACAACAAUGUAUUUUUUUUUGUUGUUUCUUUUUUUCCCAACCAUCUGGUUUGGUAUUAUGGUAAUUAUCAAGACUAUGAAAAGGGAGCACCAGUAUUGAAAUCUGUAGGCAUUCUACCUUGUAUGACUUUGGUGGAUUAAGAUUUAUACUUUGAUAAGGACAUGUGACAAAUGUGAUGGUGUAAGCUGAAACUUUUUUUCUCCUCAGUUGAUUGUCAGCUUUGAUUUUUCCAUGUUUUACUGCUGCUUACAUUUUCAUGACAUUUUCUUUCUUUCAGAGGAUGCUACAUUGUCAGUUGCUAACUGCUCUAACUGUCUUACAGGAAUUUUCAUGGGAUUCAUUUGUUCUUGCAACAAGUUUACUACAUAGCCAUUCAGAAAAAAGCUGGUACUGGCAUUCAUCAAUGAUACACUGGGGUAAAAGGAAUCAAGAUAAGUAAUUUAAAAGGAUUGGCUCUUAUUCUUACACAAUAUUAAGAGCAUUUUGGACCUGCACUAAGAAAGGUCUUCUUAGCACCUGAGUGUCCAUCAUCAGCCUUGAGCUGUGCGAUCAACACCAAGAAACAGGUGGUUUGAGGAGGAGAAUUCAUAUUUCAUUUUUGUAAAUAAAAAAAAAAAAUCUUUAUUAGUUUUGAAGAGACUGUCCAAACUACCUGGAAGCAAAUACCAAGGCUGUGUCCUCAUAGUCAUCCACACAGAGUCAAGGAUAUGUUUCGAUACAAUCUAAAAUCGUAGGAUUUUCUCCAGUCUGGUUUCACCCUAAACUACAUGACUGGAGCAGCUGACAUGUCAGCCCUCUGGAUGAUCAGGACAAUGAGUCUUAAAACCACAUAUAGUUGUCUUGACUGUCAGUAGCUGGGCUUAAGCAAGAGAAAAAUACUCCUGCAGGCCUACACAAAAUCAGUGUCAGCUGCUCCCAUGCCCAUUUGCAGUACAGCAAAAGUAGGCAACUACAGUUCCAAUUUUAAAUCAAAUUAAGUAGCUCCUUUUUACAAUCACAGUAAAAUUCUCUCCAAGUAUUUCAGGUAUCCGAGUAACACUCACAAUUAUACCAACAGAAAGCUAUAAUGAGAAUGAGUUAGGCUUGUGUCUUUUGCAAUCAUCUUCAGAAUGGAUUCCAUUUAAUGCCAUUUUCUAUUCUCAUUACAAUCUUUGUCAGGCAAAGGCAUCAGAAUUUUAAUGGCCAGUACAGUCUGUUUAAAAACUAUAAACUCUUAAUGGACUUACAAACAGAGACUUUAACCUUUUAAAUAUGCUGGACUCAUCUCACUUCCCUCUCCUUACAGAGUUCAGGAGAUACACACAGGAGAGAAUAGAGAUGGCAAAAGCAGAACGCCAGCCAUUUAUAAAGGAAAACUAGGAUAACUGAAAUCAAGAACAUGUAGUAAGGAUCUGGAAGUCACAGUCCUUGAGAUCCAUGUGACCUUGGAUAAACUUAAGUUGAUAUUUUAAAAAAAAUCAGUGGAAUCCCCAAAUCCACAGUAGGCAGUUGGCAAAGUGAUCUGGAGAUCUGAGGUCCUAAAUUUUUUGUCACCUCUUUGAUGUAUGUGUGGAUUACUUAUCCAAGAAAGGCAAAGGACCUCUCCUGGCUUGUGCUGAGUUUAUGUCCAUCAGAAGCCAAGGCAUCAACAAAGGAAAGCCAAGGACCUGGGAACUUGGAUCUUGUAGAAACACAGCAACUGAUACAAGGUGAAGCAGAACACACUGUGCCUUUAGACUGCUGUCUUUCUUUCCUUCAAAAUGUCUUCACAAUGAAUCCUGGCAUGUUUGUUUAAAAUAGCAACAUAGAAAUCCCAAAAUAUCCAUUUGCAACUCAUUUGGGGAUUCAUCACUGGGAAAAUAAGUAUUUUUGUAAUGAUGUAUAGAUUUCAGAGACCAUGAGUUAGGACUUUAUGCCUAUAAAGUUCAAUGCAGCACCGUGUGGAGAUUAGUUUGUGGCAGCAUAUUAACUGCAGUUGUUCAGUUCUCUAUCCAAGCUAACCCACCUUCUUCUUGAAUAAAUUCUCUAGAGAUAGGACUGAUUUGAACAAGUGUGUAUGUCUUCACCUGAUAUAGUCAUGGAGAUAAAUACGUACUUCUCAGUGAAAUUAUUUGAAGAUAAUGCAUCUAAAACUGGUUAGAUAAAUUGUUUACUAAUAGUACUUAUUUCUUUCUGUUGAUGGUUGCUUUGUAUUGACUGUAGGGUGCACAGAUAAAUAUCUACAUGGUAUAUAUUUAAAAGCAUGAGCCAAAGUCCAUUCAUGGUGCUACAGAACCAGCUUAGGUGGUUUGACCUUCUGUCAACGCUCUGCCUAAUGCACACCAAGAGGCUGUUGACCUUCUUUGCCACAGGGGCACACUGCUGACAUGCUUAACUUGUUGUCCACCAGGACUGCCAGCUCCUUCUCUGCAGACCCGGUCCCCAGCCUGUACUGGUACAUGAGGUUAUUCCUCCUUUGGUGCAGGACGUGGCUUUUCCCUUCACUGAACUUCACAAGGGUUCUGUCAGCCCAUUUCUCCAGCCUGAGAAGGUCCUUCUGAAUAGCAGUACAACCAUGUGGUGAACAAAACACUCCUCCCAGUUUUGUGUUGUCUGCAAUCCAGUCUUGCCUUGUGUUAAGGAUGCUUGUAGCUUUGGCAGUAUCAAUUAAAAUUUGUGAUUCUAGAAAAUAUCAGGUUUCCAGACAAAAGCCUGUAAGUGUUAGAUUCUUGAAAGAACAUCAUCAAGGUGGGGUAGUUUGGCUAGAGCUGAAAAGCCUGGGGUUUUCUGUAAGUUUUUGAUAAUUUCAGGCCAGCUUCCAGAGGACAAAUUCUUUAUUGUUCUGACAUUUCACCAGAUUAAGUCAGAGAUAUUUUGAGCAAAACAUGUUGAUCAUAGCAGUCAGUUGCUUUUGGAAAAGGCCUAUAACCUGGAAAAAAACAGCAACUGCAUCAAUCUUUUUUUUUACUCUUUCAUCUAUAAAUGUCAGAGGGAUAAAAAACCCCCAAAACACGGCACUAAAAGUCUUCUAUUAUUCUGGGAAAAUUGUUUAUUUUUCUUGAGUCUGGGGUUGUAGCAUUUCCAAUGCAAAUGCUAAAUUAAGUGUAUCUGAGCCUAUAUCCUGUGAAUAUUCAAACAAGUUAUUAGUAAUGAAAUACAUUUAUUUACUCAUUCAGGUAUGACUUGCAUGAUCUAGUAUAGUCUUAUAUAAAAAGCAGAUAAACCUUAUUCAACAAUGUGUUUAAGAAUAAAUUUAUUUAAAGAAGAAAAUUCAAAUCACCCAAACACACAUUUUAAAUGAAACAUGCUGUGUUGGGUUUGCGUGGCAAGGUUUUGGUAGCAAGGGGAGCUACAGGGGGUGGCUUCUGUGAGAAGAUCCCAGAAUCUUCCCCCAUGUCCGACAGAGCCAAUGCCAGCCAGCUCCAAGAUGGACCCGCUGCUGGCCAAGGCUGAGCCCAUCAGCGAUGGUGGUAACACCUCUUGGAUAAAAUAGUUAAGAAGGGGAGAAAACCUGCUGUGCAAUGGCAGCUGGAAGAGAGGAGUGAGAAGAUGUGAGAGGAACAACUCUGCAGACACCCAGAUCAGUGAAGAAGGAGGGGGAGGAGGUACUCCGGGUGCCAGAGCAGAGAUUCCCCUGCAGCCCAUGGAGAAGACCAUGGUGAGGCAGGCUGUCCCCCUGCAGCCCAUGGAGGAUGAUGGUGGAGCAGAUAUCCACCUGCAGCCCAUGGACGACCCCAUGCUGGAGUAGGUGGAUGCACCCAGAGGAGGCUGUGACCCCAUGGGAAGCCCACGCUGGAGCAGGCUCCUGGCAGGACCUGUGGCCCCGUGGAGAGAGGCGCCCACGCUGGAGCAGGUUUGCUGGCGGGACUUGUGACCCUGUGGGGACCCACGCUGGAGCAGUCUGGUCCUGAAGGUCUGCACCCCAUGGAAGGACCCAUGCUGGAGCAGUUUGUGAAGAACUGCAGCCGAUGGGAAGGACUCAAGUUGGAGAAGUUCGUGGGAGGGACCCCAUGCUGGAGGAGGGUAAGAGUGUGAGGAGAAAAAAGCAGCAGAGACAACGUGUGAUAAACUGGGUGUUGAACCCAGGAAGAAGGGAGGGGUGGGGAGAAGGUGUUUUUAAGAUUUAUUUUUUAUUUCUCAUUAUCCUACUCUGAUAUGAUUGGUAAAUUAAAUUAGUUUCCAC